GAUGAUGAUCCCAAGCCUUCUGGCGAUCUAGACAAAACAAGUCCACCGUGGGCUUUGAAAAACGCUUUCCUUGAUAAAAUUUAAGCGUUUUAUAAGAGGAUGCCGGGGAAGGUUUUCCGGUUUAUCCCGGAGGGCUUGUAGCUCAGUUGGUUAGAGCGCGCGCUUGAUAAGCGUGAGGUCGGAGGUUCAAGUCCUCCCAGGCCCACCAGUUUAUCCAUUACUUUCAUAAGUGCUUUUAAAAAAUAAGUACUUCUAAAAAGAUUGCUUCUAAAAAGAUUGCUUCUAAAAAGCUUAUCAAAAUUGGCAGGCUUAUUGCUUUUGUGUGAGUAAUCCAAAGUUAAAGCAAAUUAAUGGCAAAAAAACAGUUCAAAUGCUAAAUACUAAGGAGUCAAAAUUCCUUGCAAAGUGAUUUUUACAGCGUCCAUUUGGUUGAUAUAAAUUCCAAAUGCUCAUAGACGUCAAUGCCUAUAUGAAACUAUCGGUUCAAUCAUAUCGCUUUGAGUUAUAUAGAUUUUGUAAUCCCUCUUUUGAUCGUUUUAAACGCUUUAUCCUGAUUUAGGGGCCGUAGCUCAGCUGGGAGAGCACCUGCUUUGCAAGCAGGGGGUCGUCGGUUCGAUCCCGUCCGGCUCCACCAUAAGGUCAUCAUCAUUGUUGUAAGAACAGUUUUGUAAAAGGUUUGCGGACCUUUUGCUUGUUCU
RNAcentral lists this transfer RNA (698 nucleotides) under Bartonella henselae. Its description in RNAcentral is "partial 16S-23S ribosomal RNA intergenic spacer". The stretch from base 132 to 205 matches the Rfam family "tRNA". The record is from RNAcentral. Lineage: Bacteria; Pseudomonadati; Pseudomonadota; Alphaproteobacteria; Hyphomicrobiales; Bartonellaceae.